This 403-nucleotide long non-coding RNA is filed under the name Homo sapiens (human). RNAcentral's name for it is "HSALNT0398222". The record is from RNAcentral. Lineage: Eukaryota; Metazoa; Chordata; Mammalia; Primates; Hominidae.
AAGCGGGGAUCGAGCCAGCGCCCUCCAGCCUGGGUGACAGCGAGAGACUACAUCUCAAAAAAAAAAAAAGAAAAAAAGAAAUUUAGUCUACCCAUUCUCCCAGACAACUCAGCCUGAGGAAACACACUGAGAAACAAUGAUAACCUCCGAGGAACAGGGUUCAAGGUCUCCCAGAGUGGGGUGGAGAAGGGGAGGGGAAUUAAUGUCAAAGCUUGGCCUGGAAGGAUGACGUGCUCCCCAGGUAAAGGAGGUCAGGACAACAUCAACAUCCGGACAUGGGACUCGGCUUGGACAUACGCUGGAAAAGUGGAUUCUCUCACAUAGUCAGCUGGCCCUGAGAAUUGUUGGUUUUACACUCAGACCUUGGUGGCUUUCCGGGUUCUGGGGGCUCAGGCAAGAGGGC